This 137-nucleotide ribosomal RNA is filed under the name uncultured bacterium. RNAcentral describes it as "partial 16S ribosomal RNA". It matches the Rfam family "Bacterial small subunit ribosomal RNA", at positions 355 to 509 of the family's 1533-position model. The record is from RNAcentral.
UGGGGGAUAUUGCACAAUGGGGGAAACCCUGAUGCAGCGACGCCGCGUGGGUGAAGAAGCGCCUCGGCGCGUAAAGCCCUGUCAGCAGGGAAGAAAUGACGGUACCUGAAGAAGAACGCCCCGGCUAACUACGUGCC